Molecule: long non-coding RNA, 205 nt
Filed under: Elaeis guineensis (African oil palm)
Lineage: Eukaryota; Viridiplantae; Streptophyta; Magnoliopsida; Arecales; Arecaceae
Description: long non-coding RNA (EGUI_LNC035023)
Source: RNAcentral
CAUCUGAGAUCCUUUGAAAUCAUUAUAUCUUUUUCUUAAAGCAUACAUAUACAUAGACGGAAAAACAAUAAAAUUCAUGCUUCAUAAUCAUGCUAUUUUCAUAAGACAUAUUCAUGAAAUCAAUGCUCAUAAUAAAACAUGCUUUUUCAUAUCACAUAUGUCGAUCCUUAUUUUAUGAAAAAUUAUGAUUUCAUCAAUAGCAAUU